UACGUAGGUGGCAAGCGUUGUCCGGAUUUACUGGGCGUAAAGAGCGCGCAGGCGGUCGUUCAAGUCGCGUGUGAAAGCCCCCGGCUCAACUGGGGAGGGUCACGCGAUACUGAUCGACUCGAAGGCAGGAGAGGGUAGUGGAAUUCCCGGUGUAGUGGUGAAAUGCGUAGAUAUCGGGAGGAACACCAGUGGCGAAGGCGGGUCUCUGGGCAACAACUGACGCUGAGGAGCGAAAGCGUGGGGAGCGAACAGG
Molecule: ribosomal RNA, 253 nt
Filed under: uncultured bacterium
Lineage: Bacteria
Description: partial 16S ribosomal RNA
Rfam family: Bacterial small subunit ribosomal RNA
Source: RNAcentral